Molecule: long non-coding RNA, 198 nt
Filed under: Cricetulus griseus (Chinese hamster)
Lineage: Eukaryota; Metazoa; Chordata; Mammalia; Rodentia; Cricetidae
Description: lncRNA (ENSCGRG00000024130.1)
Source: RNAcentral
CUCAUGUUGUCCGGCUAUGUGGCAAGUUCCUCUAUCUGCUGAGCCGUCUGACUCAACCUGACGUUUAUACAUGUUACACAAAGCACCGACUCUUUGCAGAGCUUCCCAGAGAUGUGACAUCCCGCGUUCCAGACCAGGAGCUGUUUGUCCUGGGUAUAGUGUGCACCACAGAGAACAUGGGGCAAGAUGAAGAUUAAG